RNAcentral lists this ribosomal RNA (255 nucleotides) under uncultured bacterium. RNAcentral describes it as "partial 16S ribosomal RNA". It matches the Rfam family "Bacterial small subunit ribosomal RNA", at positions 524 to 778 of the family's 1533-position model. The record is from RNAcentral.
UACAGAGGGGGCAAGCGUUGUUCGGAAUUACUGGGCGUAAAGGGCGCGUAGGCGGCCUGUUAAGUCGAACGUGAAAUCCCCGGGCUCAACCCGGGAACUGCGUCCGAUACUGGCAGGCUUGAAUCCGGGAGAGGGAUGCGGAAUUCCAGGUGUAGCGGUGAAAUGCGUAGAUAUCUGGAGGAACACCGGUGGCGAAGGCGCAUCCUGGACCGGCAUUGACGCUGAGGCGCGAAAGCCAGGGGGAGCAAAACGGGG